UCGAUUGAGUUUGAUCAUGGCUCAGGAUGAACGCUGGCGGCGUGCUUAACACGUGCAAGUCAAGGGGGCCCAGCAAUGGGCAACCGGCGAACGGGUGCGUAACACGUGAGCAACCUACCCAGGUGUGGGGGAUAGCCGUCCCAACGGACGGGUAAUACCGCAUACGCUCUUCUUUAGGCAUUUAGAGAAGAGGAAACCUUCGGGGCACCAUGAGGGGCUCGCGGCCUAUCAGCUAGUUGGCGAGGUAACGGCUCACCAAGGCUACGACGGGUAGCUGGUCUGAGAGGAUGGCCAGCCACAUUGGGACUGAGAAACGGCCCAGACUCCUACGGGAGGCAGCAGUGGGGAAUCUUGCGCAAUGGCCUAACGGCUGACGCAGCGACGCCGCGUGAGGGAUGACGCUCUUCGGAGUGUAAACCUCUUUUGCCCGGAACGAAUUGCCACCAUCAGGUGGCUUGACGGUACCGGUUGAAUAAGCACCGGCUAACUCCGUGCCAGCAGCCGCGGUAAUACGGGGGGUGCGAGCGUUGUCCGGAAUCACUGGGCGUAAAGGGCGCGUAGGUGGCGUGAUAAGGGUGUGGUGAAAGCCCGGGGCUCAACCCCGGGUCU
This 609-nucleotide ribosomal RNA is filed under the name uncultured bacterium. RNAcentral's name for it is "bacterial SSU rRNA". It matches the Rfam family "Bacterial small subunit ribosomal RNA", at positions 1 to 622 of the family's 1533-position model. The record is from RNAcentral.